UUUUCUUAAAUAGUUUAUAGAAGAAUAUGAAAUUGUGGAUUUUAAGGUUAAUUUUAAGAAAAU
RNAcentral lists this transfer RNA (63 nucleotides) under Pauropus longiramus. RNAcentral's name for it is "tRNA-His". Lineage: Eukaryota; Metazoa; Arthropoda; Pauropoda; Tetramerocerata; Pauropodidae. The record is from RNAcentral.